CACUUAGUAUUGUUUUUAGCCACAGUUUGUCCCACUGUGCACUGCGGUCGUGUGUGGGACUGGCUAAAUCAAGAACUUCUUGUUGGAUGUUGUAAUCGUGGAGGUUUUUUCCGACCAGACCACUAAUGUUUUUCAUAUAACCGAAUAUUUCCAUUUAUUUUUUCGACAAUGUUCAUUUGCGUGCAUUGCAUAAAGCGCAAACAGCAAUAGCAACAACAACAGCGGAAAGAGCAAGACGAACGGUAAACGUCUCGGUGAAUUACGUCAUAAGAACUCGUUUACAUCCAGCGGCAGAGACGCGGCUGCUGCUGCUGCUCCACGGACUGACGAUUGGGGCCAACAACAAAUCGCUCCUCUGACACUCACGGCAGUGGCAGUUUUUAUCAAUGCAGUUAUUUUUGUCAUUGCGAUCUGAUCGCCCCGUGGCAAGCCACCAAGAGGCUGCCCCCAAAAAGAGUACAUGCUGUCAUGUCAACAAGUGGCAAACGGCGUUACUUAUUCUGCCGACGUUGGCAGCGCUGUCGACGCUUUGGUCAUGAAUUUUGCACAGUUUUUUGUUUCUGAUCGUGAUUUUCGAACGCUGGCAGCGCCGAAACUGCGCGGCUUCAGCUGCUGGCUGGUUUCCUCUGCAAUUGGCUUUAUUUAAUCGGUAUAGCAAUAAACUUCAACAUUUUGGUGAUGUUGAGUUGCAGUUUUGGUUUUUGGACAGGCUUCGACGAGUUUGUAUCGACUUCACCUUCGAUUUCUUAGUGCACUUUUGCACACACACACACACGCACUUAGCAGUUUCAUGUCAUAACGGUGCCUGAGAAUUGCGGUAGUCGAAAAUACGGCACUUGCGGAGUGUUGUUGUUGGGUCUUUUCUUAGCUCUGGUUGUUGUUGCUUUUUUUCGGAUUUUGGCGGUGGUGGGCUUAACGAACGCGAAUUGGAUUUGUUUUAGACAUGAUUGAACAUGUUUGAGUUGCACUUUUCACCUUCGAUUUCUUUUACACAAACACUGACACUUUUAACGGCACAUGCGGGUGGCCGAGCAUUGCUGAUGGGCAUUUAAUAAUUGUAACACCACAAAAAAAUACAAAUAAAAGCAGAAAAACAAAAAAAAAAGCUCGGCCCGAGUUUCUCCUUAUUAAUUUAUUGAUAUUGACACAUAUGGCGAGAUCAUGGACUGGCGGGGCCCAAUCCGCCAGACUAUUGCAUAUGCGCCUUUUUUGUAUACACACACUGACACUUUUGCACUGCACUUAUAACCCAGCGGGGCCCAAUCCGCUAGGUUAUUUCACUAAACACUUUUGCUGGAACACACUAACACCAACACUUUAAAAACUUAGCGGGGCCCAAUCCGCUAAGUUAUAUCACUUCUGGUAGAACAAAUUUCAACACUUUUGGUAAAACACAAUAUCACUUUUAGUCAGGAAUUGUCUUUAAAAAUGUAUAUUAAUGUUAGCAAAUGUUUACGCACAUUUCUUCGCAACUUUUAAGUCAAUUGCGCACUCAAUAUUAACACACACACUGACACUUUUACACUGCACUUAUAACCCAGCGGGGCCCAAUCCGCUAGGUUAUUUCACUACACACUUUUGCUAGAACACACUAACACCAACACUUUUAUAACCUAGCGGGGCCCAAUCCGCUAAGUUAUAUCACUUCUGGUAGAACAAAUUUCAACACUUUUGGUAAAACACAAUAUCACUUUUAGUCAGGAAUUGUCUUCAAAAAUGUAUAUUAAUGUUAGCAAAUGUUUACGCAAACUUCUUCGCAACUUUUAAGUCAAUUGCGCACUCAAUAUUAAGACACACACUGACACUUUUACACUGCACUUAUAACCCAGCGGGGCCCAAUCCGCUAGGUUAUUUCACUAAACACUUUUUCUGGAACACACUAACACCAACACUUUUAUAACCUAGCGGGGCCCAAUCCGCUAGGUUAUUUCACUAAACACUUUUGCUGGAACACACUUUUUUAACCUAGCGGGGCCCAAUCCGCUAGGAUAAAACACUUUUGCUGGAACACACUCACACUAACACUUUUAUGACCUAGCGGGGCCCAGUCCGCUAGGCCACUUUACACACACUAACACUUUUAUAACCUAGCGGGGCCCAUUCAGCAUGGCUACUUCACAAUUUCACAUUUCUGGAACAACACACGAUUAUAAACGCGGCACAACAAUAGUUUCAUUAAGGAUGUACAUUAUAACAUUUAUUUCAUUAAUAUUCAUGCACUUUUUGUUUAACGAACGCGAGCCUGCCACCGCCGUGUUGUUUCCGCCGAAUUAGUUUCCGCCAUUUUGCGAAAAGAAAGUGAUGGACAAUUAGUAUCGAGAAGCUGGAGCAGAGGUGGGGUAUCCUAUCGUUUAUAUUCGAU
This 2362-nucleotide long non-coding RNA is filed under the name Drosophila guanche. The record is from RNAcentral. Lineage: Eukaryota; Metazoa; Arthropoda; Insecta; Diptera; Drosophilidae.